AUGAGGAAAGAUGAGAAUCUUCAAAUAUUCCCUGUUGUUCCUCCUUUUCCAGUUGAGUGCCAGCACAUCUUGCUCAGUUCCAUCAUCCCAGAGGACAGACUCCGGAGGCCUCCAUCCAGAAACCAGAGCCAGGAAAAGAAUGUAACAACCAGAGACUUGGGUUCAGAACCUACUACGUGUGGCGUACACCCAAGCCCCCAGAUGUCAGCCGGAGCGAAGCUGGGCCCAGUGUAUUCCUCCUCAGGAAAGUGGAAUUGUAGAAGUUUGUUUCUGGAACUAUAACAUGUAAACUUUAGAAUUAUAAGCUUUCUGAGGCAUGUAUACUCCACCGUUUGAGCUGUGCAAUAAAGAAAGUCACUCCUAAAAGAAAGAAAAUGAA
This 379-nucleotide long non-coding RNA is filed under the name Vulpes vulpes (red fox). RNAcentral's name for it is "lncRNA (ENSVVUG00000005517.1)". Lineage: Eukaryota; Metazoa; Chordata; Mammalia; Carnivora; Canidae. The record is from RNAcentral.